UAAAGAACAUAGAUUGACGCCGAUUGC
RNAcentral lists this small RNA (27 nucleotides) under Bombyx mori (domestic silkworm). Its description in RNAcentral is "piRNA piR-bmo-1545542". Lineage: Eukaryota; Metazoa; Arthropoda; Insecta; Lepidoptera; Bombycidae. The record is from RNAcentral.